RNAcentral lists this ribosomal RNA (263 nucleotides) under Namea brisbanensis. Its description in RNAcentral is "partial 12S ribosomal RNA". The record is from RNAcentral. Lineage: Eukaryota; Metazoa; Arthropoda; Arachnida; Araneae; Anamidae.
UCUAAAAAUAAAAAGGUAAUAUCCUUGGAGAAACCUAUACUCUUUGACGGCCUUCUUUCUUAUUAAAGGAACUUGUUAUCGAAUCGAAACUACGCGUUAAUUUUUCCUCCUCUUUCAAAGCUUUUAUACCGUCGUCUUAAGGAUUUACUUAGAAGUCUACUCUAAAUUUAUUAUCAAAACAAGUCAGAUCAAGGUGAAGCCUGUAUGGGAGAAUUUAAUGAGUUAUCAAUAAAAAUAAUUUAUAGAUUUUUAUUUUAAAAAAU